This 460-nucleotide ribosomal RNA is filed under the name uncultured bacterium. RNAcentral describes it as "partial 16S ribosomal RNA". It matches the Rfam family "Bacterial small subunit ribosomal RNA", at positions 338 to 795 of the family's 1533-position model. The record is from RNAcentral.
CCUACGGGUGGCAGCAGUGAGGAAUAUUGGUCAAUGGACGAGAGUCUGAACCAGCCAAGUAGCGUGAAGGAUGACUGCCCUAUGGGUUGUAAACUUCUUUUAUAUGGGAAUAAAAUGUUCCACGUGUGGGAUUUUGUAUGUACCAUAUGAAUAAGGAUCGGCUAACUCCGUGCCAGCAGCCGCGGUAAUACGGAGGAUCCGAGCGUUAUCCGGAUGUAUUGGGUUUAAAGGGCGCGUAGGUGGAUUUUUAAGUCAGUUGUGAAAGUUUGCGGCUCAACCGUAAAAUUGCAGUUGAAACUGGCAGUCGUGAGUACAGUAGAGGCAGGCGGAAUUCGUGGUGUAGCGGUGAAAUGCUUAGAUAUCACGAAGAACUCCGAUUGCGAAGGCAGUUCACUGGACUGCAACUCACACUGAGGCUCGAAAGUGUGGGUAUCAAACAGGAUUAGAUACCCGUGUAGUC